RNAcentral lists this non-coding RNA (165 nucleotides) under Hydrogenivirga sp. 128-5-R1-1. RNAcentral describes it as "6S / SsrS RNA". It matches the Rfam family "6S / SsrS RNA". Rfam says of the family: E. coli 6S RNA was the first non coding RNA to be sequenced, but its function was unknown until recently. Lineage: Bacteria; Pseudomonadati; Aquificota; Aquificia; Aquificales; Aquificaceae. The record is from Rfam by way of RNAcentral.
AACCUCCUGCCCUGUGCGUGGCCCAGGGAUCAUCAUUGGGGCCUACAAGUGGGCUGUAAGGGAACCCGCCUUCGGAAGGGUCCACGAGGGCUCUCCGAGAGGGUACCCACCUUAGGAAGAGAGGCCCACCGGUAUCUCUGAAGGUCACGGCAGGGCGGGUCUUAA